RNAcentral lists this ribosomal RNA (250 nucleotides) under uncultured bacterium. RNAcentral's name for it is "partial 16S ribosomal RNA". It matches the Rfam family "Bacterial small subunit ribosomal RNA", at positions 1252 to 1500 of the family's 1533-position model. The record is from RNAcentral.
AGCCUGUGAAGGUAAGCAAAUCUCAAAAAUAAACGUCUCAGUUCGGAUUGUAGUCUGCAACUCGACUACAUGAAGCUGGAAUCGCUAGUAAUCGCGGAUCAGAAUGCCGCGGUGAAUACGUUCCCGGGUCUUGUACACACCGCCCGUCACACCAUGGGAGUCGGAAAUGCCCGAAGCCAGUGACCCAACUGAAAGGAGGGAGCUGUCGAAGGCAGGUCUGAUAACUGGGGUGAAGUCGUAACAAGGUACC